Molecule: ribosomal RNA, 1006 nt
Filed under: Haloferax prahovense
Lineage: Archaea; Methanobacteriati; Methanobacteriota; Halobacteria; Halobacteriales; Haloferacaceae
Description: bacterial SSU rRNA
Rfam family: Archaeal small subunit ribosomal RNA
Source: RNAcentral
CCCCAAGUGCGAGGGCAUAUAGUCUCGCUUUUCCGACCGUAAGGUGGUCGGCGAAUAAGGGCUGGGCAAGACCGGUGCCAGCCGCCGCGGUAAUACCGGCAGCCAAGUGAUGACCGAUAUUAUUGGGCUAAAGCGUCCGUAGCCGGCCACGAAGGUUCAUCGGGAAAUCCGCCAGCUCAACUGGCGGGCGUCCGGUGAAAACCACAUGGCUUGGGACCGGAAGGCUCGAGGGGUACGUCCGGGGUAGGAGUGAAAUCCCGUAAUCCUGGACGGACCACCGAUGGCGAAAGCACCUCGAGAAGACGGAUCCGACGGUGAGGGACGAAAGCUAGGGUCUCGAACCGGAUUAGAUACCCGGGUAGUCCUAGCUGUAAACGAUGCUCGCUAGGUGUGGCACAGGCUACGAGCCUGUGCUGUGCCGUAGGGAAGCCGAGAAGCGAGCCGCCUGGGAAGUACGUCCGCAAGGAUGAAACUUAAAGGAAUUGGCGGGGGAGCACUACAACCGGAGGAGCCUGCGGUUUAAUUGGACUCAACGCCGGACAUCUCACCAGCUCCGACUAUAGUAAUGACGGUCAGGUUGAUGACCUUGCCACGACGCUAUAGAGAGGAGGUGCAUGGCCGCCGUCAGCUCGUACCGUGAGGCGUCCUGUUAAGUCAGGCAACGAGCGAGACCCGCACUUCUAAUUGCCAGCAACAGUUUCGACUGGUUGGGUACAUUAGAAGGACUGCCGCUGCUAAAGCGGAGGAAGGAACGGGCAACGGUAGGUCAGUAUGCCCCGAAUGAGCUGGGCUACACGCGGGCUACAAUGGCCGAGACAAUGGGUUGCUAUCUCGAAAGAGAACGCUAAUCUCCUAAACUCGGUCGUAGUUCGGAUUGAGGGCUGAAACCCGCCCUCAUGAAGCUGGAUUCGGUAGUAAUCGCAUUUCAGAAGAGUGCGGUGAAUACGUCCCUGCUCCUUGCACACACCGCCCGUCAAAGCACCCGAGUGAGGUCCGGAUGAGGCCA